AAAAGUAUGAUGAUGAAACUUAAAGUGGUGAAGUUUAACCCUUUCUUUUCACACCUUAAUCAGCAAACAAGAAAAGUUCUGCAACAAAAGAGAAAUCACAACCAAUGAAAUGGGCAAUGAGGUUACAAGUGGUGUUACGUUUAGUCGAAGCUCUUGAAUUUUGAACAAAUAAAGGGGGUGCUUUUUAUCACGAUCUCAAUGCCUAUAGAAUUUUGUUUGAUGAGGAAGGUAAUCCUUGACUUUCGUGCUUUGGCUUGAUGAAGAAUAACCUGGAUGGAAAAAGUUAUAGCACGAAUCUUGCUUUCACUCCUCCCGUGUAUCUGUAUCUGAGGACAGAAAUUUGUUUCCAUCCUAUAGGAAGAGUAACGUCUGAAAGCAUGAUAUAUAGCCUUGGGAGUCUUUUGGUUGACCUUCUUAGCGGGAAGCACAUUCCGCCAAGCCAUGUUUUCUUCGUCCUUUGAUGAUCAGUUAUGAUGUUUGUUGCUCUCUGUGUGUAAGUUCUGCUGGUUGGCUGCCGGGCACGUUAUGAUUACGUCUUUUCCAAGCUUAUAUAGGCUGCUGACGUGACUUUAGAGUUGGGGUCUCACUGGAAUAAAGUUAGCCUAAGUCAAGAUGGGCUGUUGUGAACCAAGCUGUUUUCCGAUAACAAGUGCACAGUAAUUCUGGUCUGAUGGCACAAUUGUUUCAGCCAGUCCCAGCUUUUGGAGACCCUUCCUCUUCCAAGUAUCAAAUGAACAUGUCCUACUUCUCCUUCUCAACCCUUAGACAUUCAUUAUUGGUGGCUUUCCUUCAAAUGCAUGUCCGCGUUGUCGAUCUUUUAAGUGCUAGAUGGGAUAUAU
Molecule: long non-coding RNA, 839 nt
Filed under: Helianthus annuus (common sunflower)
Lineage: Eukaryota; Viridiplantae; Streptophyta; Magnoliopsida; Asterales; Asteraceae
Source: RNAcentral